RNAcentral lists this ribosomal RNA (495 nucleotides) under uncultured bacterium. RNAcentral's name for it is "partial 16S ribosomal RNA". It matches the Rfam family "Bacterial small subunit ribosomal RNA", at positions 28 to 505 of the family's 1533-position model. The record is from RNAcentral.
GAUGAACGCUGGCGGCGUGCCUAAUACAUGCAAGUCGAGCGAACAGACGAGGAGCUUGCUCCUCUGACGUUAGCGGCGGACGGGUGAGUAACACGUGGAUAACCUACCUAUAAGACUGGGAUAACUUCGGGAAACCGGAGCUAAUACCGGAUAAUAUAUUGAACCGCAUGGUUCAAUAGUGAAAGACGGUUUUGCUGUCACUUAUAGAUGGAUCCGCGCCGCAUUAGCUAGUUGGUAAGGUAACGGCUUACCAAGGCAACGAUGCGUAGCCGACCUGAGAGGGUGAUCGGCCACACUGGAACUGAGACACGGUCCAGACUCCUACGGGAGGCAGCAGUAGGGAAUCUUCCGAGAUGGGCGAAAGCCUGACGGAGCAACGCCGCGUGAGUGAUGAAGGUCUUCGGAUCGUAAAACUCUGUUAUUAGGGAAGAACAAAUGUGUAAGUAACUAUGCACGUCUUGACGGUACCUAAUCAGAAAGCCACGGCUAACUACG